Molecule: ribosomal RNA, 837 nt
Filed under: Diaporthe obtusifoliae
Lineage: Eukaryota; Fungi; Ascomycota; Sordariomycetes; Diaporthales; Diaporthaceae
Description: eukaryotic LSU rRNA
Rfam family: Eukaryotic large subunit ribosomal RNA
Source: RNAcentral
CAGGGAUUGCCCUAGUAACGGCGAGUGAAGCGGCAACAGCUCAAAUUUGAAAUCUGGCCUCGGCCCGAGUUGUAAUUUGCAGAGGAUGCUUCUGGCGCGGUGCCUUCCGAGUUCCCUGGAACGGGACGCCAGAGAGGGUGAGAGCCCCGUAUGGUCGGACACCAAGCCUGUGUGAAGCUCCUUCGACGAGUCGAGUAGUUUGGGAAUGCUGCUCUAAAUGGGAGGUAAAUCUCUUCUAAAGCUAAAUACCGGCCAGAGACCGAUAGCGCACAAGUAGAGUGAUCGAAAGAUGAAAAGCACCUUGAAAAGGGGGUUAAAUAGUACGUGAAAUUGUUGAAAGGGAAGCGUUUGUGACCAGACUUGCGCCGGGCGGCUCAUCAGGGGUUCUCCCCUGUGCACUCCGCCCGGCUCAGGCCAGCAUCGGUUCUCGUGGGGGGAUAAGACCGGCGGGAACGUAGCACCCUCCGGGGUGUGUUAUAGCCCGGCGGACGAUACCCCCGUGGGGACCGAGGUUCGCGCUCCGCAAGGAUGCUGGCGUAAUGGUCACCAGCGACCCGUCUUGAAACACGGACCAAGGAGUCGUCCAUUAGAGCGAGCGUUUGGGUGUAAAACCCGCACGCGUAAUGAAAGUGAACGCAGGUGAGAGCUUCGGCGCAUCAUCGACCGAUCCUGAUGUUCUCGGAAGGAUUUGAGUAAGAGUUUUAACGGACGGACCCGAAAGACAGUGAACUAUGCUUGUAUAGGGUGAAGCCAGAGGAAACUCUGGUGGAGGCUCGCAGCGGUUCUGACGUGCAAAUCGAUCGUCAAAUAUGAGCAUGGGGGCGAAAGACUAAUCGA